CAGUCGCCGCGGUAAUACGUAGGUCCCGAGCGUUGUCCGGAUUUAUUGGGCGUAAAGGGAGCGCAGGCGGUUUAGUAAGUCUGAAGUUAAAGGCAUUGGCUCAACCAAUGUAUGCUUUGGAAACUGUUAGACUUGAGUGCAGAAGGGGAGAGUGGAAUUCCAUGUGUAGCGGUGAAAUGCGUAGAUAUAUGGAGGAACACCGGUGGCGAAAGCGGCUCUCUGGUCUGUCACUGACGCUGAGGCUCGAAAGCGCGGGUAGCGAACAGGAUUAGAUACCCCCGUAGUCCCUGUCUCUUAUACA
RNAcentral lists this ribosomal RNA (301 nucleotides) under uncultured bacterium. Its description in RNAcentral is "partial 16S ribosomal RNA". It matches the Rfam family "Bacterial small subunit ribosomal RNA", at positions 509 to 808 of the family's 1533-position model. The record is from RNAcentral.